GGACAUAUCAUAACGAAGAGGUAUCGUAAUUGAAGAGGUUUGGAAAGACCCACCACAGAAGGUAAUAGUCCUGUAUGUUAAACGAGAAGACUUCAGAUAUGAUCCAGAGUACCACGGGACACGUGAAACCCUGUGGGAAGCAGGAGGGACCACCCUCCAAGGCUAAAUACUACCUAGUGACCGAUAGCGUAUAGUACCGUGAGGGAAAGGUGAAAAGAACCCCGGGAGGGGAGUGAAAUAGAACCUGAAACCCUGCACUUACAAGCUGUGGAAGCACAUUUCUUGUGUGACCGCGUACUUUUUGUAGAACGGGCCAACGAGUUACGUUAAGUAGCAAGGUUAAGCACUUAAGGUGCGGAGCCGUAGCGAAAGCGAGUUUUAACUGAGCGUUCAGUUACUUGACGUAGACCCGAAACCGGGCGACCUACCCAUGAGCAGGAUGAAGCGAAAGUAAAAUUUCGUGGAGGUCCGAACCCACGAGCGUUGAAAAGCUCGGGGAUGACUUGUGGGUAGCGGUGAAAUUCCAAUCGAGCCCGGAGAUAGCUGGUUCUCCCCGAAAUAGCUUUAGGGCUAGCCUCAAGGUGAGAGAUACGGAGGUAGAGCACUGAAUGUCCUAGGGGGUAUUGCACCUACCGAAGACUAUCAAACUCCGAAUGCCGUCAUCUUAUACUUGGGAGUCAGACUGUGGGUGAUAAGAUUCAUAGUCGAAAGGGCAACAGCCCAGAUCGUCAGCUAAGGUCCCUAAAUGUAAGUUAAGUGGUAAAGGAUGUGGGAUUGCACAGACAACCAGGAUGUUGGCUUAGAAGCAGCCACUCAUUCAAAGAGUGCGUAAUAGCUCACUGGUCGAGUGAUCCUGCGCCGAAGAUUUCCGGGGCUAAAACUUACUACCGAAGCUACGGCAUCAGUAAUGAUGGGUAGGGGAGCUUCCCAUACGGGUUGAAGCAUGACCGUAAGGACAUGUGGACAGUAUGGGAGUGAGAAUGUUGGCAUGAGUAGCGAGAUGUGGGUGAGAAUCCCACAGGCCGUAAACCCAAGGUUUCCAGGGGAAGGUUCGUCCGCCCUGGGUUAGUCGGGACCUAAGCUGAGGCCGAAAGGCGUAGGUGAUGGACAACAGGUUGAUAUUCCUGUACUACCGAUAACCGUUUGAGAGAAGGGAUGACACAGUAGGAUAAGCUAAGCACACUGUUGGUUAUGUGUGCCCAAGCAUUGAGGCAGUCAAAGUAGGCAAAUCCGCUUUGAUAAUGCUGGGAUGUGAUGGGGAGCGAAAUUUAGUAGCGAAGUAGCUGAUUUCACACUGUCAAGAAAAGUCUCUAUCGAGGUUAAAGGUACCCGUACCGCAAACCGACACAGGUGGGUGAGGAGAGUAUCCUAAGGCCAGCGAGAGAACUGUUGUUAAGGAACUCGGCAAAAUGACCCCGUAACUUAGGGAUAAGGGGUGCCACCAUCAGGUGGCCGCAGAGAAUAGGCCCAAGCGACUGUUUACCAAAAACAUAGGUUUCUGCUAAGUCGCAAGACGAUGUAUAGGAGCUGACGCCUGCCCGGUGCUGGAAGGUUAAGGGGAUCUGUUAGAGCAAUCGAAGCAGUGAACUUAAGCCCCAGUAAACGGCGGCCGUAACUAUAACGGUCCUAAGGUAGCGAAAUUCCUUGUCGGGUAAGUUCCGACCCGCACGAAAGGCGUAACGAUUUGGGCACUGUCUCAACAACAGACUCGGUGAAAUUGUAAUUCCGGUGAAGAUGCCGGAUACCUGCGACAGGACGGAAAGACCCCAUGGAGCUUUACUGUAGCUUGACAUUGGGUCUUGGUACUACAUGUACAGGAUAGGUGGGAGGCUUUGAAACCAGGACGCCAGUUUUGGCGGAGCCAUCCUUGGGAUACCACCCUUGUAGUACUGGGACUCUAACCAUAGGCCAUGAAUCUGGUCUUGGGACACUGUCAGGUGGGCAGUUUGACUGGGGCGGUCGCCUCCCAAAAGGUAACGGAGGCGCUCAAAGGUUCUCUCAGUACGGUCGGAAAUCGUACGUAGAGUGUAAAGGCAAAAGAGAGCUUGAUUGCAAGACAUACAGGUCGAGCAAGGAUGAAAAUCGGACUUAGUGAUCCGGUGGUUCUGCGUGGAAGGGCCAUCGCUCAACGGAUAAAAGCUACCCUGGGGAUAACAGGCUUAUCUCCCCCAAGAGUCCACAUCGACGGGGAGGUUUGGCACCUCGAUGUCGGCUCAUCACAUCCUGGGGCUGUAGUAGGUCCCAAGGGUUGGGCUGUUCGCCCAUUAAAGUGGUACGCGAGCUGGGUUCAGAACGUCGUGAGACAGUUCGGUCCCUAUCCGUCGCAGGCGUAGGAAAUUUGAGAAGACCUGUCCUUAGUACGAGAGGACCGGGAUGGACGUACCUCUGGUGUACCAGUUGUCCUGCCAAGGGCAUGGCUGGGUAGCUAUGUACGGAAUGGAUAAGCGCUGAAAGCAUCUAAGCGCGAAGCCAACUUCAAGAUAAGAUUUCCCACCGCAAGGGUAAGACCCCAGAAAGACUAUCUGGUUGAUAGGUCGAAGGUGUAAGUGCAGCAAUGUAUUUAGCUUAUCGAUACUAAUAGGUCGAGGACUUGACCAA
RNAcentral lists this ribosomal RNA (2598 nucleotides) under Clostridioides difficile. Its description in RNAcentral is "partial 23S ribosomal RNA". It matches the Rfam family "Bacterial large subunit ribosomal RNA", at positions 303 to 2925 of the family's 2925-position model. Lineage: Bacteria; Bacillati; Bacillota; Clostridia; Peptostreptococcales; Peptostreptococcaceae. The record is from RNAcentral.